GCCGGCAGCUAGCUGUCUGCAGCUAACACAUGGUCGACCACUGAAACGAAGCAGGACUGUGCCUGGUCAGUACCUGGAUGGGAGACCACAUGGGAAAGCUAGGUUGCUGCCCGCA
RNAcentral lists this ribosomal RNA (115 nucleotides) under Danio rerio (zebrafish). The record is from RNAcentral. Lineage: Eukaryota; Metazoa; Chordata; Actinopteri; Cypriniformes; Danionidae.